GAACUCCUCCCCGAUUAUAAUACUGUGCGGCGCGCCUUAGAAUCUCCCCCACCGUCGCCGUCAAACACCCAAGGUAAGGUCACCGGACGUUCUUGAGACCCUCGUCGCAAUCUCCAUCCUUCUUUUUGUUGAUUCCGAACAGAAGUUAUAAUCAAACAAGGAAUUCGCUAUCUUUAGCAACCAGGUCAGCCACUUCAAUCGGUGCUUCAUCAUAUUGAAUCAAACCAAUCGGGUUUCCUCUAGCCAUGCUCGCAAACUUAUCGGCAACUUUAUUCGCCUCUCGGUAAAUGUGAUGAACCUGAACUUGCCAUUCCUUCUUCAGUAAAUCCUUAAUCAGAACCAGCAGGGGUUGACCUUCAACGGCAAUCUCCAUCCUUUUCCUGUCGUCGUUGAGCAACUUUGGGUUGUGAAACCCACGAACCGUGGUUCGCGUCCGCCGUCGUUGAGGCCUAGUUUCGGCAGUUUAUGGCCUUGCGCGGCAGGCGUUCGCAAGAAGAAGGACUAGCCUGGUCGGGGGCUCUCCAGGGAGGCCCCCGUCGGGCCUGUUUGUUUGCUGCCGCCGUUUGGAAGCAUAUGGGCACUGUGGCCGGCUGUUUUAGGCAUCGGCAAGGCCGGCCGUGACAUUUCCUACCGUUGGGAACUGCUGCCGGUGAAGUUCGUCUCCGGCAGUCCCAUUUUUCCGAUCUGACAGAUCACUAGAUUCGAACCAAACUCUCUGUCGGAUCCCCGUUCGAUUCGGAAAUAAUUUUAAUGUCGUCUCUAAUUAUUAUUUUGUUCUGAGUUGGUUUCUGUUAUCGGUUUAGCAGAUAUAGAGCCCCGUUAUCGCCACUCUCUUCUUUACACUGCUAUUCGCUGCCGCAAUCGAGAUCUUUAGCGGCGGAGGUACGCGCUGUUAUCCCGAAAUAGCUGCGUCUAUAUUUCUAUCCACCGCUGUUUGAAACACUAGUAGGCAGAGGAGUUGCUGCCCGGAGAAACCACCGAAAUGGGGAAAAGAAAGAAAAAGAGAAAAUAUUCUGAAAAACCAUACACAUCGGACCAACUGGUCCCCGUCCCCAUCGCCUCCCCCACUCCUCUUGCUAAUUUAUCCCUCAAUUCUGUGUUGCUGUAUAGUUGGUGGUUGUGAACGGUGAAGUCCCGAGGUUUAGCUGUCGGAGGGUUUGAAUGCAGAGGGAGACAAGGACAAAGAGUGUUGUACUCGGCAGCCAACGCCAAAAGACAUGAUGCCACCACUCUUGAAACUGCCGAUGGCAUCAUGGUUGCUAUCAGCGGCUUAUCAAUAGCUCUCGUACACUUGAAAAUGGCUUUUCACCUAAGGUUUGCAGCUAUUUACUUUUUGAGUUUCCAUUUGAGUGGGAGGAAUAUGCAUCACCUUCAGAAGGUUGUUCUUCUAAUGAAGAAUCUGUUUGUCAUGGAAGCUGUGCAAUUUCUUCCCUGCCACCUUUAGACAAGCUCCCUGUCCCUGCUGCCAGGAUGCGCAAUCUUCUGAUGUUUUCUGCCGGAGACUCUCGAAAAUUGGUUUUCAAUCACAUGCUGCAGAAAUUGAGCUCCCAUGAUUUCAAAACACAUUUAUUACUGUCGAUUCAAACACGGGAAGUAAACAUCCGGAAGUACGUCCUUAUUCUGCUGCUGAUGGUGAAAAUUCAAAUUGCAAAAAGAAGGUUAAGGUUAUCGAGAAUGAUAAUAAUACGUCGUGUUCAAGGAGUAAAACAAAAGCGGAAUCCAAGGAGGAGGAUCAGUUGAGGAUUGGCGUAGGCAGCAUUACUCAAACUGUAGGUGUUACAACCAGAAGCAUGAUACGGUUUAAGCAGAAGAGAGAUUGCCUUCGUUCAUCAGACUUCCAAGAGAAAAGCAUUGCAGGGAAAAUCUACAAUAAACAUGAAUUAGUAUUGUAGCACUUCAAGGAAAACUGUAGUAGCAAGCAGACCUAGUUCGUCUGGUGAACACAAUGACAUCUCACAAAACCGGCAAGUAUCAAGUGCCGGUCACGUGUCUACUGCACAAGGACCCCAACUUGCCUUUGAGUCCAAAACAUUCAGUCAUGCCGCUGCUGUUAGAGGUAGCCGUGAUGAUCACCCUCACCUCUUCGAAGUUUUGAGCUCCUUUCGAUAAGGAAAUGAUGGAGCAAUUGAUCAGCUGUAAGCCGAUGUUUUCAAGAACUUUCGAUCUCGGUUGUAGACAUCUUACUUCGACCAACAUCUUUCGAAAAUUUUAUUCGUGCAAAUUUCGAAUUGUAUUACUAGAUUGAUCCUCUUUUCGGCUUUAGUUCGGUGUUCUAUUUAAUUUGCUUAAAAGCAACCCAAUUUUUGUAAU
Hibiscus syriacus is the source of this 2310-nucleotide RNA transcript. RefSeq lists it as uncharacterized. The record is from RefSeq and is a predicted model, not a curated record. NCBI's taxonomy places the organism in Eukaryota, Viridiplantae, Streptophyta, Magnoliopsida, Malvales, Malvaceae. The transcript is spliced from 4 exons.